This 72-nucleotide transfer RNA is filed under the name Ictidomys tridecemlineatus (thirteen-lined ground squirrel). RNAcentral's name for it is "Spermophilus tridecemlineatus (thirteen-lined ground squirrel) tRNA". It matches the Rfam family "tRNA". From Rfam's summary of the family: Transfer RNA (tRNA) molecules are approximately 80 nucleotides in length. Lineage: Eukaryota; Metazoa; Chordata; Mammalia; Rodentia; Sciuridae. The record is from Rfam by way of RNAcentral.
GGGGAUGUGGCUCAGUUAUAAAUUACUUGCCUAGCAAGCAGGAGGCCCUGGGUUCAAUCCCCAGCACCACCA